Molecule: non-coding RNA, 295 nt
Organism: Oncorhynchus mykiss (rainbow trout)
Lineage: Eukaryota; Metazoa; Chordata; Actinopteri; Salmoniformes; Salmonidae
Source: RefSeq, a predicted model, not a curated record
CAGGUUCUGGAAGGUGUGUGUGUAGACCUCAAGAGCCUUGGCAUGGAACACCAUCUCCACUGUGAUGAAGUCUGUGAAGAUCCUCUGGAAGAAGACCUAGUAUUAUUGUCACUGCUUUGAGGGGAGUGACGACUUUGGUCUCCAGCCUCUCUAUCUGUCAGGGGUAGACACAGUAAACAGACUUUCAUCUUCAAAACAACAGUAUUUCAAGAUGGGAUACAGAAGGUAGUCCAGCAGUUCACUAGACAGUGUCACCAGACCACAGUGGCAUACCUCCACCCCUGCCCCUUAACCC